CCUAAGCCAACACCUUGUCCACCACCAUCAUCAACACCAAAACCACCACAUGUUCCAAAACCACCUCAUUACCCUAAACCACCAAUAGUUCAUCCACCUCAUGUUCCAAAACCACCAGUUGUGAAACCACCAAUAGUUCAUCCACCUUAUGUUCCAAAACCACCGGUGCAUCCACCUUAUGUGCCAAAACCACCAGUGCAUCCACCUUAUGUCCCAAAACCACCAGCUGUGAAGCCACCUUAUGUUCCUAAACCACCAGUUGUCCCAGUAACACCACCAUAUGUUCCUAAACCACCCGUUGUGAAACCACCAAUUGUUUAUCCACCCCAUGUUCCGGUUCCUCUUCCUCCGGUAGUACCAAUAACACCACCUUAUGUACCAACACCACCAAUUGUGAAACCACCAAUUGUUUUUCCACCACAUGUUCCUGUUCCUAUUCCUCCUUUUCCUCCCGUUGUACCAAUAACACCACCAUAUGUUCCAACACCACCGAUUAUCACACCGCCAACACCAACACCACCAGUAGUUACUCCACCAACGGUACCUGUACCAAGCCCAC
Molecule: long non-coding RNA, 559 nt
Filed under: Trifolium pratense (red clover)
Lineage: Eukaryota; Viridiplantae; Streptophyta; Magnoliopsida; Fabales; Fabaceae
Description: long non-coding RNA (TPRA_LNC000915)
Source: RNAcentral